GACUGGUAAGUUAAAUAAACUGUGGGGUUCAUGUCUCCUUUAUACAUUUAUAUAAUGUCUAGUUG
RNAcentral lists this transfer RNA (65 nucleotides) under Taenia crassiceps. Its description in RNAcentral is "tRNA-Met". The record is from RNAcentral. Lineage: Eukaryota; Metazoa; Platyhelminthes; Cestoda; Cyclophyllidea; Taeniidae.